AGUGAACGCUGGCGGUAGGCCUAACACAUGCAAGUCGAACGGCAGCACAGGAGAGCUUGCUCUCUAGGUGGCGAGUGGCGGACGGGUGAGGAAUACAUCGGAAUCUGCCCAGUCGUGGGGGAUAACGUAGGGAAACUUACGCUAAUACCGCAUACGACCUUCGGGUGAAAGAGGGGGAUCGCAAGACCUCUCGCGAUUGGAUGAGCCGAUGUCGGAUUAGCUAGUUAGCGGGGUAAUGGCCCACCAAGGCGACGAUCCGUAGCUGGUCUGAGAGGAUGAUCAGCCACACUGGAACUGAGACACGGUCCAGACUCCUACGGGAGGCAGCAGUGGGGAAUAUUGGACAAUGGGCGCAAGCCUGAUCCAGCCAUACCGCGUGGGUGAAGAGGGCCUUCGGGUUGUAAAGCCCUUUUGUUGGGAAAGAAAUCUUUCAGGCUAAUACCCUGGGAGGAUGACGGUACCCAAAGAAUAAGCACCGGCUAACUUCGUG
Molecule: ribosomal RNA, 490 nt
Filed under: uncultured bacterium
Lineage: Bacteria
Description: partial 16S ribosomal RNA
Rfam family: Bacterial small subunit ribosomal RNA
Source: RNAcentral